AACGAACGCUGGCGGCAUGCCUAACACAUGCAAGUCGAACGAGACCUUCGGGUCUAGUGGCGCACGGGUGCGUAACGCGUGGGAACCUGCCCUUAGGUUCGGAAUAACUCCCCGAAAGGGGUGCUAAUACCGGAUAAUGUCUUCGGACCAAAGAUUUAUCGCCUUUGGAUGGGCCCGCGUUGGAUUAGCUAGUUGGUAGGGUAAAAGCCUACCAAGGCGACGAUCCAUAGCUGGUCUGAGAGGAUGAUAAGCCACACUGGGACUGAGACACGGCCCAGACUCCUACGGGAGGCAGCAGUGGGGAAUAUUAGACAAUGGGCGAAAGCCUGAUCCAGCAAUGCCGCGUGAGUGAUGAAGGCCUUAGGGUUGUAAAGCUCUUUUACCCGGGAUGAUAAUGACAGUACCGGGAGAAUAAGCUCCGGCUAACUCCGUG
Molecule: ribosomal RNA, 433 nt
Filed under: uncultured bacterium
Lineage: Bacteria
Description: partial 16S ribosomal RNA
Rfam family: Bacterial small subunit ribosomal RNA
Source: RNAcentral